Long non-coding RNA from Candoia aspera, 682 nucleotides. RefSeq lists it as uncharacterized. Lineage: Eukaryota; Metazoa; Chordata; Lepidosauria; Squamata; Candoiidae. The transcript is spliced from 6 exons. The record is from RefSeq and is a predicted model, not a curated record.
GUAACAUCCCUUUGGGACUCUGCUGCUGCCCGGAACAUGGUUUCUUUUGGGUAUCUGGCUCUUCCUCCAUUUGCCCUCCUUUUUACCCCACUCCUUUCCCCCAGGCCAUCCUGUACUUCUGGAUCACCCUCUUGCAAGGUCCCGUGCUUCAGACUGGAAAUGGCUCAGCCGUGGUGCAGGUUUCAGUGCAAGUUGAGUUCUACGUCAAGAACCUGGAUGGCUCAGUUACUUCCCUAGUCAUCCUGGAAGAUAGCCUCAGCUUGAGUGUGGUCUUCUCAGUGGCCAACAGCGACUGUUUGUUGCCGUGUCCAUCUCCGGCCAUAAAGUUGCCUUCAUUUCUUCAGGUGUGGGCAUUACUGAUAUCAGCAGUCUUGAACCUCACUGUGGCAGUCUGCUGGGUGAAACCUUUUUGGUUUCUCUCAAUGGGUUCCUCAGUGUAGGACUUCCUCUGCCUUCCAUCCUAAACACCGUGGUCAACAAUGCUCUCGUCCAGUUCAUUGAGAAUGGUCUUCUCCUGUGUAUCUAAACCAGAGGACCAGUCCUACGCAGGGGCCUCCUUUGGAGCCAGAGGGAAAGAGGACCAACAGGGACAAACAUCUGAUGCUGCUUUCUUGCUCAACGGUUCUAACUUGAGUCCAGCUGUUUCCUUUUCAUGCGAUUCUCUCAAUAAAGGAGUUGGCUU